This 62-nucleotide transfer RNA is filed under the name Ovis aries (sheep). It matches the Rfam family "tRNA". From Rfam's summary of the family: Transfer RNA (tRNA) molecules are approximately 80 nucleotides in length. Their secondary structure includes four short double-helical elements and three loops (D, anti-codon, and T loops). Further hydrogen bonds mediate the characteristic L-shaped molecular structure. tRNAs have two regions of fundamental functional importance: the anti-codon, which is responsible for specific mRNA codon recognition, and the 3' end, to which the tRNAs corresponding amino acid is attached (by aminoacyl-tRNA synthetases). tRNAs cope with the degeneracy of the genetic code in two manners: having more than one tRNA (with a specific anti-codon) for a particular amino acid; and 'wobble' base-pairing, i.e. permitting non-standard base-pairing at the 3rd anti-codon position. Lineage: Eukaryota; Metazoa; Chordata; Mammalia; Artiodactyla; Bovidae. The record is from Rfam by way of RNAcentral.
GCAGUUCAGUGGUUAGAACUUGGCACUUUCACUGCCAGGGUCUGGGUUCAACCCAUUGUGCA